AGAGGAGGAAACUGAGACACGGGGAAGUGAUGCGUGACUCACAGUCACAUAGUAAGCUUGGAUUCGAACUCAAGGAGUCUGACCUCCUCACCCCCAGCCCAGGCUGGGCCUGGCACCCAGUGACACAGAAUCUUCUCAUGAGAGGCUAAACCCUGGGAGAAGUGGAAAGAGCUGAGGACCACAGGGCAAUUGACGAAGAACGAGGAGCAAUCCGGAGGCUGUGGAGGGUUAGAAACACUUGUGCUGGCUGUGAGAUGUUGGUCGGGGGAGGACUGGUGGGCCAUGGGCCGUGUUUAUCUGUGGGGCCACCCUGUUUACCUGGUGGCUGAGCAGGGAGCAUAUCCUCUUUUGUUCCUGGGAGGUGGCUUGUGUGGGGACUGAAGAUGAAUCGGCCCAGGCGGGCAACUUCCCCGCUACCGCCCCUCCCCCGCACGGCAGGUAGCAUCAGGUGUAUUUGGCAAAGCCUCGUGCAUGGGGAAGGCCAAUCAGCCUGAGUGAGCUGGGCUGUGCUGAAGCUGGGGAUUGCUGGGGAUUGCUCUUGCAAUCAGGGCAUUUCACACAGCAAAUUGUGGUCAUUUAGGCCUCUCUCCGGCAAGCUUAAUUUCAGGCCCAAGCACAGAGGCUAUUCAGAGACACAAUGAGGUAAUUUCACAUUUUAAAGCAGAGAAUGCAGCGUAAAUUAGUAGAAAAAAUCAUGACACUUAUAAACCCGUUCUAAAGAUGUAUUGUUCCCUUCUCUUCUGGGAGAAAAAAAAUCAGCUUCUAUUAAGAUUGAAUUAACCACUGGAGGAGAAUUCCUCAGACGGCCCAUUCAUAAGGAGAAAUCUAUUUUAAACUUGGUGGAAAGGCUUUUGCGGCAAGUGUUAGGAAGAGAGUUCCUGAGAAGAUGCAGGUGCUCUCGCAGCAGUCCCUGCACCUGGGCAGGGGGGAGCAGGGCGCUCAGGCCUGCGCCCUCUCAUGCCCACCCCAGGUUGGCCCCCUUUGGGUACAGCCUUGAGUAGUGUAAAUGCUGAGGUCAGAUGCCCCCCAGACAGUAACUUAAGUACAAAUCGUUUAUUUGGGAGUGAGGGAGGGGAGUGGGGAAGUGAGAUGUCAGGGCUGGGGGACUAGGGGAGCAGUAAAGAGUCCUGCAUCAAGUCAGCCACCCCUGUGGGUAACUGGAGGCAGAGGAGACCGUGCUCCUUAGAGUUAGCCUCCAUGAGGGCUGGGAAGCUGGGCUGUUUAUCACGCCCAAUCCUAAAAGUCAUCAUGGAGGGCUGCUCCAUCAAUGUAUUGGUUUUAAUUUCUUGGCUUUUCUCAUCUUUACCCUGAAGGUGGCAAAGUGGGCUCCAGCAGCCAGAGAUAGCCCUUGGCAAGGCUGUGGGGAGCCAGGCAGGUAAGGCCUGGAGUGGUCAGCAUGAUGGGAUCUAGCACGUGCUACCUGGUUACUGGUAUUCUCAUUCCCAAACCCCAUCCCAAGGCGCUUCCUUGGGCUCUAGCACGUCUUUUUUUUUUUUUUUUUUUUUUUUUUUUUUUUUGAGACAGAGCCUUGCUCUGUCCCCCAGGCUGGAGUGCAGUGGCGCAAUCUUGGCUCACCACAACCUGUACCUCCCAGGUUCAAGCGAUUCUCC
This 1610-nucleotide long non-coding RNA is filed under the name Homo sapiens (human). RNAcentral describes it as "HSALNT0005163". Lineage: Eukaryota; Metazoa; Chordata; Mammalia; Primates; Hominidae. The record is from RNAcentral.